AUGGGAGAAUGCUCUGGUUCUCCGAGCGUUCGUCCCCCCUGGCAAAACGAACAAGCCGAAACCUCCCACAAACUACCACAACGUACGGCCUUCAUCUGCCAUCAGCACCGUAGCGCGGCGGCGGCCUCGUGCACGAGAGAGCCCGUGGCGUGGGCGACGCCGUGCGCCUCCCGCUCGGCGGCCUCCCUGCACGACCCGGACUUGGACAUCCGCUUCACGAACGCCGCGAACCGGCGCCAGUUGUCGGGCUGGAACAGAUCGGGGCCCAUGCGGAGGUAGGUGAAGGCCACCAUCCGGUCCUCCUCGGCGCGCUCCGCGGCGGUGCCCACCACCUGGUCGUGCGCCGUGUCGUCGUACCGGGGCAGCGCGUUCUCGCCGGCCAGGCCGAUGCCCGCGGCGCGGGCGGCCGCGGCCACCUGGCGCACGAGGCCCUCGGGCAUGCACUUCGCGUCCUGGGGCUGCUCGUGGUCGCGCAUCUCCACGCACGUGAAGUUUCCUUCAUCCUCUCAAUUGGCCCAAAGAUGGCCUACCCAUGACGUCCGUCGAUGGUUCCCUCACCUUUGCCGGCGACAGACGUGGCCAUAUUCAGCGCCACCACCUCGCCUCGGCCCUCUUCAUCACCCACUUCGACUACGCUUUGCCGGCGCCGACCCGCUGGACAAGCCCACGACGACCUCCCCUUUAUCCUUUGGCCGUCCUCACCUCACCGAUCUCCAAACGCCGCCGCCUCACUCCGAGCACGACUCCGAUAUCAUCCAGUCCGGUUUUCUUCACCAACACCUUUGGGGUUGCAAGGGCAUUUCCUGCCUUAAGUGUUUUGGUGUUGAUGACAAUGCAAUUUGGGGACUAAUCAUAUACCUAAGCUAUACAGGUAUACUUUAG
This 882-nucleotide ribosomal RNA is filed under the name Triticum aestivum (bread wheat). RNAcentral describes it as "partial small subunit ribosomal RNA". The record is from RNAcentral. Lineage: Eukaryota; Viridiplantae; Streptophyta; Magnoliopsida; Poales; Poaceae.